GGUGGGUAUCCGUGCGUGAGAAAAAGAGAAAGAAGAUCCUCUUUGGGGCGUGAGAUCUAAGGCAAGGUUCUAGAGUUUUCUAGUUUCUUUUUUGUCAGAGAGAAAAAUAAAAAGAAUUUUAUUUUUCUUCUUCCAUGCCAUCUCCUUCUUGAAAAGCUCUCUCUUUUGAUCUAAAGGUGUUCAUUUGAUCUGAAGAAAGAGGUCUCCAUUAACCAUCCAGAUCCUUCAUCACGAGCUAACACUCUCAGGAAGGAUGAUUUGUUCGGUGCUUCGAGUAGAUCAUCUAUAGAGACUGGACAUGCUGU
RNAcentral lists this long non-coding RNA (305 nucleotides) under Elaeis guineensis (African oil palm). RNAcentral's name for it is "long non-coding RNA (EGUI_LNC068012)". The record is from RNAcentral. Lineage: Eukaryota; Viridiplantae; Streptophyta; Magnoliopsida; Arecales; Arecaceae.